CUCAGUUCGGACUGUAGGCUGCAACUCGCCUACACGAAGCUGGAAUCGCUAGUAAUCGCGGAUCAGCACGCCGCGGUGAAUACGUUCCCGGGCCUUGUACACACCGCCCGUCAAGCCAUGGAAGCCGGGAGUGCCUGAAGUGUGCAACCGCAAGGAGCGCCCUAAGGUAAAACUGGUGACUGGGGCUAAGUCGUAACAAGGUACC
Molecule: ribosomal RNA, 205 nt
Filed under: uncultured bacterium
Lineage: Bacteria
Description: partial 16S ribosomal RNA
Rfam family: Bacterial small subunit ribosomal RNA
Source: RNAcentral